This 85-nucleotide transfer RNA is filed under the name Felis catus (domestic cat). It matches the Rfam family "tRNA". From Rfam's summary of the family: Transfer RNA (tRNA) molecules are approximately 80 nucleotides in length. Their secondary structure includes four short double-helical elements and three loops (D, anti-codon, and T loops). RNAcentral also lists the same sequence under 1 other name. The record is from Rfam by way of RNAcentral. Lineage: Eukaryota; Metazoa; Chordata; Mammalia; Carnivora; Felidae.
GCCUGGGUGGCUCAGUCGGUUGAGCAUCUGACUUCAGCUCAGGUCGUGAUCUCACAGUUUGUGAGUUUGAGCCCCGCAUCGGGCU